This 69-nucleotide transfer RNA is filed under the name Chaetocnema tibialis. Its description in RNAcentral is "tRNA-Gln". The record is from RNAcentral. Lineage: Eukaryota; Metazoa; Arthropoda; Insecta; Coleoptera; Chrysomelidae.
UAUACUUUAGUAUAAGAUGUACAUUAAUUUUUGAUAUUAAAAGAAAUAGUUUAAUUCUAUUAAGUAUAA